UUCUUUUUUGUUUGAAAGGAGAUAUCUUAAUUUCCUUAUCAUGGUACCAAACUAGGGAUAUCUCCUUUCCAACAAAAAAAGAAUUAUCAAAAUCGGUACAUCCAAUAAAAAGUUAUUGCGGAUUUUCAAGAGUUUCCCUCGAUUUCUCUGGGAUCCCAUCAUCAGAUCCUGGUUUCCUUAUCAUGGUACUAAACUAGGGAUAUCCCCUUUUCAACGAAAAAAGAAUUAUCAAAAUCGGUAUAUCCAGUAGAAAGUUACGCGGUAUAAUACAACGUAGGUCGACGAAAAAAGCGUCAAGUAAAAACACAUUAUUAGAUAUAACUCGAAAAGUAGUUGUUAGAUCUCAAAUAAAUUUAAAUGGGACCAAUUGGCACACACCACCUUUUGAUUAAAACAAAAUUUGUCGAAAUCGGUCCACACGGGCAAAAGUUCUGAUGUAACAUACAUAAAA
RNAcentral lists this unclassified non-coding RNA (451 nucleotides) under Melitaea cinxia (Glanville fritillary). RNAcentral describes it as "misc RNA ENSMCXG00005009029.1". The record is from RNAcentral. Lineage: Eukaryota; Metazoa; Arthropoda; Insecta; Lepidoptera; Nymphalidae.